AGUUCCACCCUAGCCCUAAACUGAUAGACUUCAAGUUCAGUGUCAAUUUGUAAGAUAACACCUGUGUAGUUGAACCCUAAAUGUAGCCAUCUAACUCCAGUAGCCACCGUACAGUACUUUUGAUAAAGUUACCAAUACCAGAUGAUACGUCAAAGACCUGAAAGGGAAUAUGGUGAAGUGUCUAGGAGAUGCGUGGCCCAGAUCGGGGGUUGCAGAGAGGGGCAGUGUAGAAAAAAAACCAAGCACUUAAGCCAUCAAUGUUGGGUGCAUUUUAAGGCAUUGACAGAUGUUGAGCCAACGAAGAUGUGACACGGGUUGUAGAAUUCUUCAGUGAUCAAACCAAGAAGUUUCUGUGGCUCCUUGCUCGGCUGGUUCGCUUCACCACAGAGGGCAGUGUUCUGAUUUUUGUAUCAAAGAAAAUCAAUGCAGAAGACCUGGCCACUAGCCUCAAGAGAAAAGAUUUUGAAGAUAUGAACCAGCUGGAGAGGAAUGAAGUCAUUACAUCUUUCAAGAGGAGAGCUAUACCAAUCUUAGUUGCAAGGGAUGUAGCAGCGAGAGGUCUUGAUAUCCCGUCAAUCAAGAAUGUUGUCAACUAUGACAUAGCUAGAGACAUUGAUACUCGUAGGAUAGGAAGAACCGGA
Long non-coding RNA from Lytechinus pictus (painted urchin), 641 nucleotides. RefSeq lists it as uncharacterized. The transcript has 5 exons. NCBI's taxonomy places the organism in Eukaryota, Metazoa, Echinodermata, Echinoidea, Temnopleuroida, Toxopneustidae. The record is from RefSeq and is a predicted model, not a curated record.